Molecule: long non-coding RNA, 490 nt
Filed under: Equus asinus (donkey)
Lineage: Eukaryota; Metazoa; Chordata; Mammalia; Perissodactyla; Equidae
Description: lncRNA (ENSEASG00005033304.1)
Source: RNAcentral
AGAGGUGGAGAAAGUGAUGAGUGCAGCCUUUGGAGGACAGAGCCAGCGCUUUGAGACCUCGGGCAACCAGGGAGUCCCUCUGAGCUGCAGUUUCUUCAUCUGAAGGAAACGAAGAAAUUGAGGCAGAGGGAAAGUGUUAUUGAGAUUUAAACCCUGACGGUCUGAUUGAAGAGCCUGCAACAUUAACCACUGCACUGCGUGUAAUGCACAACACUGUCUUGAUCACAGUGGCAAUCAGGGAGCUUUACAGUAAGUUUUGAAGUCGAACAGCGUCAGUCCUUCACUUUGCUCUUCUCCUUCAAUAUCAUGUUGGCCGUUCUGCGUCUUUGGCUUCUCCAUAUAAACUUUAGAGUCAGUUGGUUGAAAUCCACAAAACAACUCACUGGGAUUUGGAUUGGACUUGCAUUGACUCUAUAGAUCAAGUUGGGAAGCACCGAGACCUUGACAAUAUUGAGUCUAUCCAUGAACAUUGAACAUCUCUCCAUUUAUU